This 912-nucleotide ribosomal RNA is filed under the name uncultured marine archaeon. RNAcentral's name for it is "bacterial SSU rRNA". It matches the Rfam family "Archaeal small subunit ribosomal RNA", at positions 1 to 920 of the family's 1478-position model. The record is from RNAcentral.
UCCGGUUGAUCCUGCCGGAGGCUACCGCUAUUGGAGUUCGAUUAAGCCAUGCGAGUCGCGAGUCUUAGGGACUCGGCGUACCGCUCAGUAACACGUGGGUAACCUGCCCUAUGCUGGGGGAUAACCUCGGGAAACUGAGAAUAAUACCCCAUAGUUCACCACGCCUGGAACGGUGGGUGGAUGAAAGCUCCGGCGGCAUAGGAUGGGCCUGCGGCGUAUCAGGUUGUAGGGGGUGUAAUGUACCCUCUAGCCAUCUACGCGUACGGGUGUUGGGAGACAUCGCCCGGAGAUGGAUUCUGAGACACGAAUCCAGACCCUACGGGGUGCAGCAGGCGCGAAAACUUGGCAAUGCGAGCAAUCGUGACCAGGGAACUCCAAGUGCAUCGGGUAAGACCGAUGCUUUUCUUGACUCUUCAAAGGUCUUGGAAUAAGGGGUGGGUAAGGACGGUGCCAGCCGCCGCGGUAAUACCGGCGCCUCAAGUGGUAGUCGCUUUUAUUGGGCCUAAAACGUCCGUAGCCGGUUUGGUACAUUCGUGGGUAAAUCAAGGCGCUCAACGUCUUGAAUUCUGCGAGCACGGCCAGACUUGGGACCGGGUGAGGUGUGGGGUACUCUCAGGGUAGGGGUAAAAUCCUGUCAUCCUGAGAGGACCACCUGUUGCGAAGGCGCCACACUAGAACGGAUCCGACGGUCAGGGACGAAGCCUAGGGGCACGAACCGGAUUAGAUACCCGGGUAGUCCUAGGUGUAAACGCUGUGGACUUGAUGUUGGGAGUGCUCCGAGCACCCUCAGUGUCGAAGCGAAGGUGAUAAGUCCACUGCCUGGGGAGUACGGUCGCAAGGCUGAAACUUAAAGGAAUUGGCGGGGGAGCACUGCAACCUGAGGAUUGUGCGGUUUAAUUGGAGUCAACGCCG